CAUAGAACUGAUUAACCACUGCAAAAUGAAGCGGGGAAAAUAAAAGUUGAAAUCAAAAGAGAACAUGGAAAGUGUUUGGAUAGUCGUGGUAACCGAGUUUUCAGAGUGACGCAGUUCAGUGCCCUCCUCAUCGAUCCAGGACUCAACUCGCACAAAAUCAGCCACAAACGAUGGUAUCGAGCAUUUCAAUACCGCAGCAUUCCCUUUGAUCACAUACUCCAUUAAAAUAUCCGCGCCAUAAAACUGAUUCACAACUGUACAGAAACAACAAGCAAACAAAUGAAGCUAUAGCAUUUUGGGAAAGGAAUUGGGAUGAUUAUGAGGGAAACCACUAUUUAUCAAUAACAAAUACAAUCUAGUUAGGAGAACUACCAAAAUCAUCUUGUGGCAUAUAUUCCGUGCCAUCACUGGCUACCCAGGCUUCGACUCGCAGAAAGUCGGCGACAAAACUUGGUAUUGUGCACUUAAGUACCGCCGUAUUGCCCUUGAUCACAUACUCGGAAACAACCUCAGCCUCAUAGUACUGGUUGACGACUGCAAGAUGUUUGAGGGAAAAGCAAAUAAUCAACGAAAUGAACUAGCGAAAAACCUAUCGUAAAAUACACGCGCUGUAAAAGUAAAUAAAUGAAAAUGUAAAAUGUA
Long non-coding RNA from Drosophila albomicans, 642 nucleotides. RefSeq lists it as uncharacterized. The transcript is spliced from 2 exons. Lineage: Eukaryota; Metazoa; Arthropoda; Insecta; Diptera; Drosophilidae. The record is from RefSeq and is a predicted model, not a curated record.